GACGGCUGUUGCGAGCUACUGGGGAACAUCCUUCCUGUUCAGAUGUCCAGGAGUUGGCUGCAUGUGGACAUCCGCGCGCAAAGUGCCUGGAAGCAGGGGGUGAGCGCGCAGAACAAGAAGUUCAGGAUUCUGAGCCCACUCCUUUUACUCUUGGGGCCGGCCCCACUUCCUCUGGGGGCCCAGGCAUCCCUCUGGCAAGUCUUCAGCUAAGAAAUCUGCAGAAGUCAUUGGCCAGACUUAGAACUAAUCCUUUGUGCCAAAAGGGUUGGUGGAAGGGGAGGGAGCUUUGCCAGAACCAGGAUGUUCCUUGCUCGUGGUGAACCCUGCUGCCUCCCAGCCAUCCCACUGCUUUUCUUUGGGAAGUGGGGGAAAUGCGAUUGAGGGGCCAGUGUAAUUCGGCAACACGUGAGUUAAAAAGCAGAUGAAAACCCACAGAGUAACCAGACAUUCUUCUCUUUGCAUGCAAGAUCCUGCUGAAUGUUGGAAGAGGAAGGAAUAUUUUUCUUGCUUUUCAGACAUUACAUCCUGUGAGGAGAAGAUUUGGAACAGAUGGGGGCCAGGGGGACCUUACUGUAUUUGCUUGUUUCCCUCUAUCCCCUCCCACAACCAGAAAUGGUUCACUUAUUUUUUUAACUCGUGAAGUUAAUUUUUUUUUUUUUCCUUUAAGAGAAAGUAGGAAAGUAAGAUAUCAAGGGCCGGGGAGAAAAAUCCACAAAGUUCCAGAAUAAAAAUCCACUUUUCAUCACAGAGGCUAAGUCUAAGUCUAAAGAUAGAUAAUUAACUCAGAAUUUCAUUUUAGGUUUAAUCGCUGUUCCAGUGACUUCUACAUUAAUGAGAGGGGCAAGAUGAAGGAUCCCUUACCAGGUGGAAAAAGAGGCUUUCUGAGUAGAGAAAGUGCAGGCUCGUCCUCACUCGGCCCUUCCUCAUCAGUGUUGGCUUUCAGCUCGCCCGCCCGACAUCCUGUGGACGCUGCAGUUCAGACAAACAGCAAGAUCAUCAAAGAGAAGAGCAUGAAUGAAAAACUGCUUUAUGACAUGCCUUCAAAGUGUCUUUUUAGAAGUUCAAAGGAUGCGGAGAGGAGGCAGGGGAAUCAAAGACGAUGGGGGAGAGCAAUGAACUCUCCAAGGGAUCAUUGGGGUUUCAUUGUAUAUUUUCUAUGACGCUUGUGAUGUAAAAAUCAAAAGUAAUCUCAGCCCUCAAGGGCUCUGUGUGUGUGUACAUCUGAUGCAAAGGAGAAGACUCACCUUGCUGAUGGAAGGCUUUACCCUGGCAUUCUCAGUCACACGCUUGCAUCUGCAUUUCCUGUUUGGACCUUGAUCGAAUAUUUUGAUCUGGGAAGACUGUGUCCAGAGACGGAGAUUGAAUGCUGCUUAUGUGGUUCGAUGGAGAUGAAUAAUUUAGUCCGUGCAGAAGUCCCCCAUUACCUUUUCCAUUACCUUUCCAUUACUCUAAACAAGCUAGAGUCCACUUGUAGCAGUGGCUAUGCAGAGCUCAGAAAAGAUCUGGCAUAGAUGAUAAGAUCCCAGAGGCCUCUGAUCUGACAGAGAGAACUGAGAUUCUACUUGAGUUUGGAUCCAGACCUAAUUGAUAUACUCAUGGGAACGCCACUGAUACUUGGACACUUUAGAAUGCCUUAUGCCCAAUCCAUCCAGACAGAAUGCUUAGGCAACUAACUAGUACCUGGCACAUGGUGGGUGCUUAGGUGAAAUGAAUGAAUGACGGAACAGCUGAGCAGCUUUGUUUUAUAACCCUAGAGUAGAUUCUUUUAUGGGAAUGUUUCCUAUUGUCCUUGGGCCAUUGAUGCCCAGAAUACAAGGAUAGUCUUAAGGAUCUGAAUUGCUCUGUUAGUCAAGUCUGUAAGGGAUUUCAUCUGCAAGGGACAGAUACCUCAACUCAAACUGGACUGAGAUAGAAGGAACUUUGUUGAUUAAAAUUAUUGAAAACUCAAGGGUCACUUGGGAAGCAUCUGCCUUUGACUCGGGUCAUGAUCCUAGGGUCCUGGGAUUAAGCCCCACAUUGGGCUCCUUGCUCAGUAGGGAGCCUGCUUCUUUUCCCUCUGCCCCCUACCCCUACUAGUGCUCUCUUCUCUCUCUUGCUCUGCCCUGCUCUCUCUCUCUCUCUCAAAUAAAUAAAUAAAAUCUUUUAAAAAAGUAAAAUUAUUGAAAACUCUAAAGUAGAUUUGACUUCUGGCUUGACUGAUAAAAUAGAUAAAUGUGUCCCUGUCAAAUUCAUACAUGAUGACACCUCUCACAAGCAGUAUAUAUGGUAUUAGGAGGUGGGCCCUUUGGGAAGUGAUUGGGUUAUGAGGGUGGAGCUCUCCUGAAUGGGGUUACAGCUAAAACCAAAGAGGCCCCAAGGAGCGUCCUUGUCCCUUCUGCCCUCUGACAUCAUAGAGAGAAGAUGGGUGUCAGUAGACCAGAAAACCCUUACCAGACAUUGAAUUUGCCAGCACCUUGAUCCUGGACUUCCCAGCCUUCAGAACUGUGAGAUACGAAUUUCUAUUGCUUACGUGCCGCUCAGUCUAUGAUGUUUUUGUUACAGUAGUGAGAACGGACUAAGAUAGGUAAUUCAAGGGCUCUGACAGUGUCUCCAGGAUUCCAUUUUAAUUUGUCCAUCUCUCAGCUUUGUGUUGUGUGUAUUCUCUGUUUAUGGGCAGACUCUCCCAUAGGGUGCUGGAGCACAGAAAAUAUUAUUUUGCAGUUAAAAAAUAUAGUCUCCAGAAGCAGACUUGAUUCAAAUCCCUAGUCCAUCACUUUACUAGAUGUGCAAACUUAGAUUAGUUUAAAGUCUCUGUGCUUUGUUUUCCUUGUCCUUACACUGGAGAUUAUGGUGGUGAUAGUCAUAGAUAAAACUUGCAGAACACUUGCUACAUGCCUGGUGUUCUUCUAAAGACUGUACAUUGAUAAAUUGACUAAUCUGUACAACAACCUAUGAGGGAGGUACUAUUAUUAGCCUCAUUAUAUGGAUGAGGAAACUGUGGUAUAGAAAGUUUAGACAACUUGUCUGUUACACAACUAGUACAUGAUGUAGCCAGAAUUCAAAUGCGGUCCUAUCGAC
Molecule: long non-coding RNA, 3057 nt
Organism: Mustela putorius furo (domestic ferret)
Lineage: Eukaryota; Metazoa; Chordata; Mammalia; Carnivora; Mustelidae
Source: Ensembl